GACGAUAGAGGGCGACAGAUAAUUUGCCUAAUUUUUAUCUCCACCGAAAACGGUGCGCUUUUCAAAUUUCCUUGUGAAUUGGGCUUCCUUAACUUGCACAAAUGAGAACUUUUCACAUGUUGUCAGCGGGAAAAUGCCGACUAUUUAAACGAAUCAAUUCUUUUUAUUCGUUAUGAUAUCUCCUAUACAUCUAUAAACUGUAGAUGAAGCGAAGUUUUACCUGGAUUCUGAUUGCCGAUUGCAUGAAAUUGACUCGUCCUUCAUCCUUGUGCCCCACCUGUUAAAAUUGAUAUGGAUAGCGACAACCAAGAAGGAGAUGGAGGAUUAAGACAAGGAGCUUACGGGCCAUCAUGGACAGUGACAACCAAUCAUCACAGUUCUUCGCUGAAGCCAUUGACCAGAUCCUGCAAAGGCAUAUGAAAGUCAUCAAGCACAAGCCUGGAAGGGAUCAUCUUUAGCAAAGGGAAGCUCAAAAAGAGAUUCUGAUCACACCAAAUGACCCAGGUCAAGGUAGUUGAUCCUAUUCUGGUUUUAAGGAAGGCAAAGAGAACGGUCAUUGAGCUAGAAACAGGCAAGACCAAUUGCUUUGGAGGCAUGGAUGAGGUCCUUGACAUGACCUCUGAUGAGAGCGAGUAUGAGCAUCCUACCAAGCCUCAAACACCACCACAUGAAGAUUAAAGAAAAGAGAGAGCCCUCACAGAGACCACCUAAGAAACAGAUGCCCUCUGGAUGGACUCGUCUGGAAUGCUUCAGGAUGGAGAAGGGAUUGUUGACAUUUGGCCAUAUGACAAGGCUGAGAAUCCUGGAAGAGAGACAAACGGAUUCUGACCUGCCAGUUGCAAAACCUGAUGGACCUAUCAACAACGAAACAGAGGAUAAGGAGACGGUUUCAUAUUUGCAAUUGAUUGCAAACUUUAACGUUACACUGCCCAGGGGCCCGUUUCAUA
Molecule: long non-coding RNA, 947 nt
Filed under: Lytechinus variegatus (green sea urchin)
Lineage: Eukaryota; Metazoa; Echinodermata; Echinoidea; Temnopleuroida; Toxopneustidae
Description: uncharacterized LOC121411559, transcript variant X1
Source: RNAcentral